UCGAGCGGACCGACGGGAGCUUGCUCCCUUAGGUCAGCGGCGGACGGGUGAGUAACACGUGGGUAACCUGCCUGUAAGACUGGGAUAACUCCGGGAAACCGGGGCUAAUACCGGAUGCUUGAUUGAACCGCAUGGUUCAAUCAUAAAAGGUGGCUUUCAGCUACCACUUGCAGAUGGACCCGCGGCGCAUUAGCUAGUUGGUGAGGUAACGGCUCACCAAGGCGACGAUGCGUAGCCGACCUGAGAGGGUGAUCGGCCACACUGGGACUGAGACACGGCCCAGACUCCUACGGGAGGCAGCAGUAGGGAAUCUUCCGCAAUGGACGAAAGUCUGACGGAGCAACGCCGCGUGAGUGAUGAAGGUUUUCGGAUCGUAAAACUCUGUUGUUAGGGAAGAACAAGUACCGUUCGAAUAGGGCGGUACCUUGACGGUACCUAACCAGAAAGCCACGGCUAACUACGUGCCAGCAGCCGCGGUAAUACGUAGGUGGCAAGCGUUGUCCGGAAUUAUUGGGCGUAAAGCGCGCGCAGGCGGUUUCUUAAGUCUGAUGUGAAAGCCCCCGGCUCAACCGGGGAGGGUCAUUGGAAACUGGGGAACUUGAGUGCAGAAGAGGAGAGUGGAAUUCCACGUGUAGCGGUGAAAUGCGUAGAGAUGUGGAGGAACACCAGUGGCGAAGGCGACUCUCUGGUCUGUAACUGACGCUGAGGCGCGAAAGCGUGGGGGAGCGAACAGGAUUAGAUACCCUGGUAGUCCACGCCGUAAACGAUGAGUGCUAAGUGUUAGAGGGUUUCCGCCCUUUAGUGCUGCAGCAAACGCAUUAAGCACUCCGCCUGGGGAGUACGGUCGCAAGACUGAACUCAAAGGAAUUGACGGGGGCCCGCACAAGCGGUGGAGCAUGUGGUUUAAUUCGAAGCAACGCGAAGAA
This 926-nucleotide ribosomal RNA is filed under the name Bacillus licheniformis. Its description in RNAcentral is "bacterial SSU rRNA". It matches the Rfam family "Bacterial small subunit ribosomal RNA", at positions 62 to 968 of the family's 1533-position model. The record is from RNAcentral. Lineage: Bacteria; Bacillati; Bacillota; Bacilli; Caryophanales; Bacillaceae.